This 20-nucleotide unclassified non-coding RNA is filed under the name Chlamydomonas reinhardtii. RNAcentral's name for it is "small RNA Cre_2737". Lineage: Eukaryota; Viridiplantae; Chlorophyta; Chlorophyceae; Chlamydomonadales; Chlamydomonadaceae. The record is from RNAcentral.
UCGUAAGCGAGCCUGAAGCG